RNAcentral lists this transfer RNA (67 nucleotides) under Bruchinae sp. GENSP01. RNAcentral's name for it is "tRNA-Phe". The record is from RNAcentral. Lineage: Eukaryota; Metazoa; Arthropoda; Insecta; Coleoptera; Chrysomelidae.
ACUUAAAUAGCUUAUAUAAAGAGCGUGACAUUGAAGAUGUUAAGGAAAUAAUAUUUAUUUUUAAGUA